RNAcentral lists this ribosomal RNA (253 nucleotides) under uncultured bacterium. RNAcentral describes it as "partial 16S ribosomal RNA". It matches the Rfam family "Bacterial small subunit ribosomal RNA", at positions 524 to 776 of the family's 1533-position model. The record is from RNAcentral.
UACAGAGGUCCCAAGCGUUGUUCGGAUUCAUUGGGCGUAAAGGGCGCGUAGGCGGCGGGGCAAGUCGGGUGUGAAAUCUCAGGGCUCAACCCUGAAACUGCACUCGAUACUGCUCUGCUUGAGGACUGGAGAGGAGACUGGAAUUCACGGUGUAGCAGUGAAAUGCGUAGAUAUCGUGAGGAAGACCAGUGGCGAAGGCGGGUCUCUGGACAGUUCCUGACGCUGAGGCGCGAAGGCCAGGGGAGCAAACGGG